This 68-nucleotide transfer RNA is filed under the name Hoplocercus spinosus. RNAcentral describes it as "tRNA-Ala". The record is from RNAcentral. Lineage: Eukaryota; Metazoa; Chordata; Lepidosauria; Squamata; Hoplocercidae.
UAAAACCUGUGAAAUACUAAACACAUCUCCUAAAUGCAACUCAGGCACUUUAAUUAAGCUAAGGCCUC